CAGCUGUGUCCCGGAGCACCCAGUGAACAUGCAUUUAAGGCACACGUAAAUGAACAGAUGGGGUGCAGUGAGGAGCUGGCUGGAGACACCAAGUCAAGGCCCUGGAUUUGGACUGAAGAUGCCCCGUUGCCUUGGAGACCAGCCACAGGCUUCCUGGGAAUGAUUGUGCAGGUGAUCGCUUCGGGAGGAAGACAGGGCCACAGAAGCAUCGAUAAAAAUCGGAGCGUUUACGGAUCGGCUCGAAGCCCAUCACUUCGCACAUCGUUCACAUUGCUCCCGCCUCCCCGCCUGUCUCUCCCUGGACAAUAGGUGUCUGCUCCACACCCACUCUCUGCUGCGCGAGAAAGGGCCUGUCUCGUUGUGAAGAGCCCUUCCUUCCGGCUUCCUGGGUUGGAGGUAAACACCCCAGGGAGAAUGCGCCCCUUGUCUGGCCGGCUGCGGACGGUGGGAGAGGCGGGGGCAGC
Molecule: long non-coding RNA, 464 nt
Filed under: Ursus maritimus (polar bear)
Lineage: Eukaryota; Metazoa; Chordata; Mammalia; Carnivora; Ursidae
Description: lncRNA (ENSUMAG00000014364.1)
Source: RNAcentral